RNAcentral lists this unclassified non-coding RNA (221 nucleotides) under plant metagenome. RNAcentral's name for it is "partial contains small subunit ribosomal RNA, internal transcribed spacer 1, and 5.8S ribosomal RNA". The record is from RNAcentral.
UUUCCGUAGGUGAACCAGCGGAAGGAUCAUUCACAAUAAGUGUAUUAUGACACUUUUUCAAUCAUUCUCCACCUUGUGUCCAAUGUUGUCUUGUAACGCGAACGCUAGUCAUGUGCGCUACAGGAUGUACACAUCAACUCUUAUUUUUAACAUCUUUGUCUGAAAACCUGUAUGAAUACUAAAUUCAAAUACAACUUUCAACAACGGAUCUCUUGGCUCUG